This 622-nucleotide long non-coding RNA is filed under the name Bos taurus (domestic cattle). RNAcentral's name for it is "long non-coding RNA NONBTAT018254". The record is from RNAcentral. Lineage: Eukaryota; Metazoa; Chordata; Mammalia; Artiodactyla; Bovidae.
AAGCACUGUCAACAUUUUAUUUUGUUUUUGUUUUCCAUCUUGGUUUGUUUUUUAAUUUCCAGAAAGCACAUUUUACUUUUUCUACUUUGGAAACAUUCAGGUUUUGCAUGGGCUUAACCCAGACAUAGUUUUACCCUUUACAGGAAUCCUUCUUGAGGCUUAAAUAUUUCAGGAGGGGUUAAAACCACAGGGGAAACAUCAUAAACCCUUUGAAGCACAAAAGCAGCAGCCAAUCUGCACAUUCAGUUACUGCUUUCAUUUUUAAAAAUUCAUAAGAGACCUUUAUGACACAGAAUCACUCUGCAUGUAGCUCUUCCACAUAGAAUUGCUUAUUUACAGAUUAAAAGCCUUACAUUCUGCCAAGAUAGACAAUAAUUACUCUCUUGAGGAUUAUGCAACGGCGCUCUUGCAAUAUUUUUUACAUAAUUAAGUGCCCAACUCAUAGCUCACCAAGGAACAAAGCAUAAUUGCACAUGCUACCCUCUGAAGAUUUCGCACCAAACUCAAAAUUUCCCCCGUGUCGGAAAAACUACAGUAGAGCUCCAUUCAAGGGCUUUGAUCAUUAAUUCAGAAAACUAUUACUGAAAGCAAAAAAGAAAAGAAAUACAGUCAUUACUGAAUG